This 301-nucleotide unclassified non-coding RNA is filed under the name uncultured Pleosporales. RNAcentral describes it as "sequence contains ITS1". The stretch from base 1 to 105 matches the Rfam family "5.8S ribosomal RNA", at positions 50 to 154 of the family's 154-position model. Lineage: Eukaryota; Fungi; Ascomycota; Dothideomycetes; Pleosporales. The record is from RNAcentral.
GAAAUGCGAUAAGUAAUGUGAAUUGCAGAAUUCAGUGAAUCAUCGAAUCUUUGAACGCACAUUGCGCCCCUCGGUAUUCCGUGGGGCAUGCCUGUUCGAGCGUCAUUAUCACCCUCAAGCUCUGCUUGGUGUUGGGCGUCUGUCCCGCCUCGGUGUGCGGACUCGCCCCAAAGCUAUUGGCAGCGGUCGUGCCAGCUCCUAGCGCAGCACAUUUGCGCUUCCUGAAGCUAUGGCGGAUCAGCAUCCAGCAAGCCCUCUAUAGUUUGACCUCGGAUCAGGUAGGGAUACCCGCUGAACUUAA